RNAcentral lists this long non-coding RNA (1686 nucleotides) under Danio rerio (zebrafish). RNAcentral describes it as "lncRNA (ENSDARG00000117710.1)". Lineage: Eukaryota; Metazoa; Chordata; Actinopteri; Cypriniformes; Danionidae. The record is from RNAcentral.
AAAAAAUUAAGCUGAACAAAUGACUUCUGCCCUUUCCUUGACAUUCUGUUCAUCUGAAGUUAUGAUGCUUCAAAUAUUUGUCAAACGAUUUUCUUUAAAUCACAUGGGUUUAUCCAAGCAAUGUGUCAAAUUCUGCACAGUUUAGUUCCAACCCUAAUUAAACACACCCGAUCAAACUAAUUGAGUCCCUCAGGCUUGUUUGAAACCUACAGGCAAGUGUGUCGGAGCAGGGUUGAAACUAAACUGUCCAGGGCUGGAGCCCUCCAGGAACUGAAUUUGGCACACCUAGUUUAAAUGUUAACGGAUUUAUUUGAACCUUAGGUAGACAUUCUAAUAAUACUCAAAUGGACCAUCAAAAUGAAGUGUCACCGAACCAUUUUAUAAAAAAAAAAAAAAAAAGAAAGGAAAAAGUGUGUUCAUAUUUAUUUUAUAGAUUUAUUUUUUUAUCUUUUUAUAUAUGUGUCUUAUUUUUCCUGGCAUUUCUGGGUUAAAACCCAUGAAUUAAAAACCACUAAAAUAGAUAAGUGUUUGAUGUAUUAUUAAUGAUGAUGCUUUAUUGUCUGUAAAGGAGAAAGCAGAGCUGUGUCAGAAGGUCCAGAGUUUGGGUCUGCAGUUGCAGAGAGAGCAGAGGAGCAAACAGGACUUCAGUGAACAGAUGUCGGAUCUUCAUUCUGAGCUUUCACAAGCUAAGAGCCAAAGCAGCAAACAGAAGAUGGACACAAUGCAGAUGAAAGAGGAGCUGCUUUCAGUUAAAGAGUUGAAAGAAAAGCUGUCGUCUAACCUAACCAAGGCCACAGAGAGACUACAGGUGACCCUUAACCAGUUACACGAGCUGGAGGCGGAGAAACUAAUCCAAACCAAUCAGAUUACAGCGCUGGAGACUGAACGCUUGCAGCUGAUUGGAGAGAAGGAGGAGCUAAGGAAAACAUUUGAUGAUGGUCUUCAUGAAAAAAUUAAGCAGCUGGGAGAGAGAUGCUGCCAACUCAAGUAUGAAUAAACAAAUAUUACAUAAUAUAUAGAUUGUUUAAUUCUAUUUCUAAUCUGGGUUAUUCCCGUCUCAAAUCAAGGAAACAGCGGGACAAUCUGGAGCAAGAAAAUCAGCGUCUGCAAUUCAAACGUAAAGAACUGGAACAAAAAAUAGAAAGCCUGGAGGCGGGGCAGCAACACAAAAAAGAGGAGGAGCAUCAUAUGUGGGCGGAGUUUGAGCGGGAGAAGGAGGAAUUAAAGAAAGUGGCAGCUCACUGGAACGAGAGAUGGCUGGAUGUGGCGAUGACGUUAUGCUCAACUCAGGAAGAACUAGAUGUGCUCAAAAGUCAACAGCAAGAGAAAGACGGAGUAUGUUUUUGAUUUAAUCAUUUGGGAAGUGUGUGGUCUUACUGUGUUUUACAAAGGACCACAAGCAAGGUCUGGAAUUUUAUUAAAAGUAAAGAUUUCCCACUCUUUCCUAAUGUUGGGAUCAGACGGAAGGCAAUACAAAAGAUUGUAUUCCAUUACUUAAAGUCAUCCUUAUCGUUGGGCUUGUUGCUUUUAUUUUUGUUUACCUGUUGAAUACAUGAAAUGGUUGGCGGAGCUAAACUGUGAUGUAGAAGUUGGUAUUGAUCAUCUGUGGAACCGUAUUUAGCCACAAUCUCAGGUAGUUUCAGAUCAAGUUUAAUUUUUAAUUUUUAAUAUUUUGGAAGCCAUUAG